CAGGCAGAUACUCCUGUGCUGUAGAAGGCCAUGAGGAUCUCCCUCUGCUGAAGAGACUCUCACUGUCAGAUAUGGCCCAAAGAACACCUCGGUGUCAGUCAGUCCCUCUGGUGAAAUAGUGGAGGGCAGUUCAGUGACUCUGACCUGCAGCAGUGAUGCCAACCCACCUGUGGACAAAUACACCUGGUACAAGACAAAAUACAAGAACUUGUCGAUGAGAAAUUCUGGACAGAGAUACACCAUCCAUAAUAUCAGCUCUGAGGACAGAGAGGGAUACUACUGCGAGGCUCUGAACAUUUUAGGGAGACAGACUAUCCCUGUCCAUAUUAAUGUUACAUGUAAGUAUGACACAUUGUCUAUUUUUGUGCUCUGUAACUUUACAGAUUUCAUUCUGACAUCAUGCAUUUAUAAACUCAUGACCCUGCAGCAGUGUUUCCCUGGGUUCCUGUGGUGGGGGUGGGGGCUGUCCUGACUGCUGGAGCUCUUCUACUCACCAUCUACUGCUAUGUGAAGAGGAGAUCCACAGGAGGAAGUGAUGCCACAGCAGACACACGGAUUAAGGGACUCCCCUGUGACACAGCCCCUCAGAAAGAUGCUGAGCCCUCCGAUUAUGAGAACUGGAGAGAACCACCACAGAACCUGUACAGUGACACAGCCCCUCAGAUAGAUGCUGAGCCCUCCGAUUAUGAGAACUGGAGCGAACCACCACAGAACCUGGACUGAAGAGAACCACCACAGAACCUGGAUUGAAGAGAACCACCACAGAACCUGACUG
Molecule: non-coding RNA, 775 nt
Organism: Salvelinus sp. IW2-2015
Lineage: Eukaryota; Metazoa; Chordata; Actinopteri; Salmoniformes; Salmonidae
Source: RefSeq, a predicted model, not a curated record